RNAcentral lists this ribosomal RNA (508 nucleotides) under uncultured bacterium. RNAcentral describes it as "bacterial SSU rRNA". It matches the Rfam family "Bacterial small subunit ribosomal RNA", at positions 791 to 1301 of the family's 1533-position model. The record is from RNAcentral.
UAGUCCACGCCGUAAACGAUGAAUACUAGGUGUCGGGGGUCAAACCUCGGUGCCGCAGUUAACACAUUAAGUAUUCCGCCUGGGGAGUACGCACGCAAGUGUGAAACUCAAAGGAAUUGACGGGGACCCGCACAAGCAGCGGAGCAUGUGGUUUAAUUCGAAGCAACGCGAAGAACCUUACCAAAUCUUGACAUCCUUUUGACCAUCAUUUAAUCAUGAUCUCCCUUCGGGGCAGAAGUGACAGGUGGUGCAUGGUUGUCGUCAGCUCGUGUCGUGAGAUGUUGGGUUAAGUCCCGCAACGAGCGCAACCCUUGUCUUUAGUUGUCAUCAAGUAAUGUUGGACCCUCUAAAGGGACUGCCGGUGACAAACCGGAGGAAGGUAAGGAUGACGUCAAGUCAGCAUGCCCCUUAUGCUCUGGGCUACACACGUGCUACAAUGGCCGUGAUAAAGAGUUGCUACUUUGUGAAAACAAGCUAAUCUCAUAAACGCGGCCUCAGUUCGGAUUGC